This 755-nucleotide ribosomal RNA is filed under the name Streptomyces sp. RNAcentral's name for it is "bacterial SSU rRNA". It matches the Rfam family "Bacterial small subunit ribosomal RNA", at positions 90 to 857 of the family's 1533-position model. The record is from RNAcentral. Lineage: Bacteria; Bacillati; Actinomycetota; Actinomycetes; Kitasatosporales; Streptomycetaceae.
GAUUAGUGGCGAACGGGUGAGUAACACGUGGGCAAUCUGCCCUUCACUCUGGGACAAGCCCUGGAAACGGGGUCUAAUACCGGAUACCACUCCUGCCUGCAUGGGCGGGGGUUGAAAGCUCCGGCGGUGAAGGAUGAGCCCGCGGCCUAUCAGCUUGUUGGUGGGGUAAUGGCCCACCAAGGCGACGACGGGUAGCCGGCCUGAGAGGGCGACCGGCCACACUGGGACUGAGACACGGCCCAGACUCCUACGGGAGGCAGCAGUGGGGAAUAUUGCACAAUGGGCGAAAGCCUGAUGCAGCGACGCCGCGUGAGGGAUGACGGCCUUCGGGUUGUAAACCUCUUUCAGCAGGGAAGAAGCGAAAGUGACGGUACCUGCAGAAGAAGCGCCGGCUAACUACGUGCCAGCAGCCGCGGUAAUACGUAGGGCGCAAGCGUUGUCCGGAAUUAUUGGGCGUAAAGAGCUCGUAGGCGGCUUGUCACGUCGGAUGUGAAAGCCCGAGGCUUAACCUCGGGUCUGCAUUCGAUACGGGCUAGCUAGAGUGUGGUAGGGGAGAUCGGAAUUCCUGGUGUAGCGGUGAAAUGCGCAGAUAUCAGGAGGAACACCGGUGGCGAAGGCGGAUCUCUGGGCCAUUACUGACGCUGAGGAGCGAAAGCGUGGGGAGCGAACAGGAUUAGAUACCCUGGUAGUCCACGCCGUAAACGUUGGGAACUAGGUGUUGGCGACAUUCCACGUCGUCGGUGCCGCAGCUAACG